UCUCCGUAGGUGAACCUGCGGAGGGUUCAUUACUGAGUGAGGGCUUCGGUCCGACCUCCAACCCUUUGUGAACCAAACUUUUUGCUUCGGGGGCGACCCUGCCGCUUCGGCGGGGGGGCGCCCCCGGAGGCCAUUAAACACUGAAUCAUUGCGUCGGAGUUAAAGUAAAUUAAACAAAACUUUCAACAACGGAUCUCUUGGUUCCAGCAUCGAUGAAGAACGCAGC
This 226-nucleotide unclassified non-coding RNA is filed under the name uncultured fungus. RNAcentral describes it as "sequence contains ITS1, 5.8S rRNA gene". The stretch from base 178 to 226 matches the Rfam family "5.8S ribosomal RNA", at positions 1 to 49 of the family's 154-position model. Lineage: Eukaryota; Fungi. The record is from RNAcentral.